Long non-coding RNA from Callithrix jacchus (white-tufted-ear marmoset), 4352 nucleotides. The record is from Ensembl. NCBI's taxonomy places the organism in Eukaryota, Metazoa, Chordata, Mammalia, Primates, Cebidae.
AUCCUGCAAAAUCCCAGUGACCCCAUGAUCUCUGGAGCCGUAACUCCUCCGCUCUUCCUCCAGACCACUCCCUCCUGCAGACUCCUGGGCGUGCUCCUGCUGCGAAGCCUUAGUCCUGGCUCCUUCCUUCCUCCUGGAAUGCUGUUGGCUCAGGUAUGCAUCACAGGAACAGCUCCUGCCUGCCCCCAAACCGCUGAUCCCAUCUCACUUCAGUGAGGCCGUGCUGACCUCAUCACUGACCUAUUCAUGUUCCAACCCGCUGACCUCCCGGGACUCUGGUACUCCUCUCCAACUCUUCUUUUUCAUUCUCCCAUAAAUACCAAUGUCUAACUUCUUAGGCAAUUUCUUUAUUAUAAUUGUCCUUUGUUUUCAACUUCUUCUCACUAGAAAAGAAAGCUCUACAAUGCUCAGAAUCUUUGUUGCGUUCUCUGAAAAAUGCCAGGCUCUGGAAGAGGGCCUGCCUCCCAGCAGGCACAGGGUUUUGCUCUGUUGCCCAGACUGGAGUGCAGUGCCAUGAUCUCAGCUUACUGCAGCCUCCACCUCCCAAGUUCCAGUGAUUCUCCUGCCUCAGCCUCUCGAGUAGCUGGAACUAUAGUAAAGAGUUGGUUUUCAAGAGCCCUUAGGAAAUGCCCUCACUACCUCCUCGUGGGCCAGCUCAGUGCGGAGCCAUCAGAAGAACCACCUUCUAGUUCGUGAGCACUUAGAGUCUGCAGACCCAGAAGAAAUGUAAAAAGGCGACUGAAGACCAGCUCAUAAGAAAUAUGUGACGAAGCCACAGGACAAAUAUUUUAGCAAAGUCAUGCUCAGGGGUGUGGGCAUGUAAAGACGAGCUCCCAUAACGUGUAGCCCCAUCAAAGGCAAAACCUGACUCCCUGAGAAGGCAAAUAUCAAACUCUCUGAUUGCCAAGUAUGGAGAGGACACAACAUCAUGAAGCUAAGUCCCAAGAACCCUCAUGGCCCCACCUGCCAGUGCUCAAGAGGCAGGUGCCCAGGUGUGGAGAUGCCCAGAGUGCAGACAGUAUAAGGCAGCAAAUGCACGAGAAAGCCGAGGAAUCCAUGCCCCCCAGUUCAAUAGAACCAUCCUUCAUAGUAGGAUUUGGGGAAAUCUGAAGCCAAGCGCAACAACUAGAGAAAACAUUCCCAAGGCCCCCUUCUCCAGCGGAGGCCAGGAAAAUCCUAUUUGGUGGGAUCAUUAUUAAGACAAGAGAAACAGCAAAAUCAAGCUUAGGGUCCAGGUGUUGCCAGUCUUCCUUCCUUCCUUCCUUCCUUCCUUCCUUCCUUCCUUCCUUCUUCCUUCCUCUCUUCCUCUUUCCUUACCUCCUUCCCUGCCUCCCUCCCUCCCUCUCUCCCUCUCUCCCUCCCUCCCUCUCUCUCUCUCUCUCCCCCCCUCUCCCUCACUCCUUCCUUCCUUCCUUCCUUUUCUUUUUCUUUUUCUUUUUAUUGAGACAGAGUCUCACUCUCACCCAGGCUGGAGUGCAGUGGUGUGGUCUGGGCUCACUACAACCUCUGCCUCCCAGGUUUGGGCAGGUCUCUGCCUUGGCCUCCUGAGUAGCUGGGAUUACAGGUGCCUACCACCAUGCUAAUCUUUUUGUAUUUUCAGUAGAGACAGGGUUUCACCAUCUUGGCCAGGCUGCUGUUGAACUCAUGACCUCCUGAUCCACCCACCUCAGUCUCCCAAAGUGCUGGGAUUACAGGCACCCAGCGAUGUUGCCAAUUUCUGUACCCACGUGGAGGGUGUCCCUGUCACACAGCCCAGGGGAGGAUUGGGCAACUCCCAGCAUACCUCAGGUAAGGAAUCAAUGAAGUGUCAAGAAUGUCCUGAUUGUUUUGCAAAGAGAUCAGCUCCUCAACUUUGCUCUCUUUCUUGAAGCAUUUUCUUUCUCUUUGGUUGUCUCCAUAGUCCCUUGCUUGCCAUUCUUCUCUGGCAAAGGUCCCUGCUUAGCCAACUGCUCUGGGUCUGUCCCACUUCCCUGGGCCACCAAGAUGCUUCUGGAGAAGAUGUGUGGCUGGCACUACCAAGUCCUGCAGCUUAAGUUGGAGGAAGACACAAGUGCCCCAGAUGGGCUUGUGAGUGGAGCGGGGCGGGGACUUUGGUCUGCAGGAUCUUCCUUUGUCCUACAUUCCUGAGCCCUGCAGGUGGGCAGAGAUUCUCAGAGGCUUGGGAAAAGGCUGCCCUCAAACACAACUGGAUUCAUCUCCAGGAUGUCAACCCAGAUCUGUUUUCUCUAAAAACCCAUAAUCUUUGUAUGUCAUCACACUGAAAACAAAGGAAGAUUUAUUGAUUGAAUGAAUGGCAUGAUGGAGUGGAAAUUUCAUUAAUCAUUUUAAUUCAUCGUGCUUCAUACAUCCUGUCUCAUUUGAACAUCACAACUAGAUCCAUGAAUUUUGUGUAUCGGAUGGGGAGUCUCCAACAGCUUAAGAAUGAGAACUCUUAUUGCAGCUGACAAAGCCAGCUUAAUGGGAGAAUUUAUUAUAAGAAUACAGGGGACUCUCAGGGUACCCACAUUCAGAGAGGAGAGCAGCAUGUUCUCAUUUUUCUUUUGCAAAGCUCACUCUUGCAAAGGCUGUGGGUGAGAAGUAGACUGGAGGGGGUGAGAGCAGAGACAUAGGCCAGUGGGGAUCCUUUUCUUUUCUGCUGCCUCUCUUGCAAAUCAAUCCUGAAGCUAAGUUUCAUUGAACUAGACAUGGCUUUGGCUUGAAACCAAGAUAAAAUGAGCACUCAUGGAGAAAAGAUCUCCUAUACUUUCUGUCAACUUUUGUCUGAUAGUUGCCGAAUUUCAAUGCUAUUUUUUUUUUGCGGGGGGAAGCAAAACGGACUCUCUCUCUAUAAACUCAAAACAUGUGGAGUAUAGGUGGAAUUUUAAUGACACCUCAUAGAAUGAUCAUGAAUUUAGAUAGAAAUUCUCUUUUUACUCUUUGAUAUCAAUAUUCUUUUGUUUCAGCCUUGCCUUUGGAUCUGAAAUCUUAGGAAAUACAGUGGAAAGAAUUCUGAGUUACGAAUCAUUAAACACUGAGUCUGCUCCAGCUCUGCUUCCUGUUACUUGGAUAACCCUUGACAAGCAAACUCAGCCUCCCUGGCUCUGAUCCAUCUUCUGUUAAAUGAGGGAUUUGGAUUGACACAAGAACUUCUCAAACCUUAGUGAAUCUUCUGGGGAUGUUGUUAAAAUGCAGAUUCACCAGGCCUGGGGUGGGGCCUGAGACUCUGCAUUUCCAACAAGCUCCCAGGUGAUACUGACGCUGCCGGCCCGGAAUCACACUCCAGUCAGGCCACCCUCCAAGGUGCCAUCCUGCUGUAAGCUAUAACAGCUACUAAAUAAGGAAAAGCAUGACAUCAACAAUGCAUAACAAUCAAUAUUUAUUUUAGAAAACAAAUACUGCUUUUUCUUUUUUUUUAAACAGGGCCUCAUUUUGUCACUCAGGCUGGAGUACAGUGGCAUGAACAUGGCUCACUGCAGCCUCGACCUCCAGGGCUCAGGUGAUCAUCCCCCAGGUAGCUGGGACUACAGGCAUGGACCACCAUGCUUGGCUAAUUUUUGUAUUUUUUAUAGAGACAAGGUUUGCCAUGUUGCCCAGGCUGUUACAAAUAUAGCUUUACUUUUCUGUUUGUAAAAGUAAUGCAUGCUUAUGAAAACUGUUCUAAAAAAAUCCCAUCAUGUAUAAAAUGCAAUGACAGUAAAAAUCAUCUCAAGUUAAAUACCACUUGAACUGUCUUGUCUCUUGGCUCUGAAGAACACAAAUGCUAGGCUUCAGUGUUGGCGUUAUAUUACCUUGUCUUUCAAAAUCAGAUCAUGAAACUGGUAUCGUUUUCAAUUUGCUGCCAAUCACUUAUGCAUUGACUGAUUUGAAUUCAGUUCCUGCUGUUGUGGUAGAUUUGCUUCUGUGUUCUAUGAUUUGAAGUUGCUUAUUGCCUGGAUUCAGGAGAGGGUAGUGGAUGGCAUUUCAGGGUCAUCCCCAGCCAGGCAGAAUUGACCUGAAGGUGUCUCUAAGAGAAGAAAGCGAAGUAAAUAUCAAGAACAAUUUUUAGCAGAAAAUUCAAUGUUAAGAGCAUUGAGAGCUAAUCAAUAGAACAGAAGAUUCUGCAAAUACGUCCAUCUUUUGCAAAUAACAGGUCAUAACCAUUGUUGGCAAAGGAAGAAAUUCCGCUUAUUCCUCAGUGAUAUGUCACACCUGUUUGAGUGUACUUGAAACAGUUGUAAUAAGAGAGCCUUAAGAGUUUGUUGGUCGUAAAAACAUAUGACAUUUAAAAAACUUGAUGGGAUUUUUAUUGACAUAUAUAACUAUUAAAUAAAAUAUUAUAGAUCCCAAAUAGCAAACUAACUUUAGUAUUUACAAUUUUCCUUUGUCUCAUCUAA